Molecule: ribosomal RNA, 492 nt
Filed under: uncultured bacterium
Lineage: Bacteria
Description: partial 16S ribosomal RNA
Rfam family: Bacterial small subunit ribosomal RNA
Source: RNAcentral
AGUGAACGCUGGCGGUAGGCCUAACACAUGCAAGUCGAACGGCAGCACAGUAAGACUUUCUCUUUGGGGGUGGCGUGUCGGACGCGGGUGGAGUGUAUCUCGAUCUGCCCUUUUUUGGGGGGUAAACCGUAGAGACCGUUACUCAUAUAGCGUAUAAGCCACGCGGGUGAGAGGAGGGGCUUCUGGGAUCUUGCGCGCUUAUAUGAGGAGAUGUCGGAUUAGAUAGUUGGGGGGAUAAAGGCCCACCAAGGCGACGAUCCGUAGCUGGUCUGAGAGGAUGAUCAGCCACACUGGAACUGAGACACGGCCCAGACUCCUACGGGAGGCAGCAGUGGGGAAUAUUGGACAAUGGGCGCAAGCCUGAUCCAGCCAUGCCGCGUGUGUGAAGAAGGCCUUCGGGUUGUAAAGCCCUUUUGUUGGGAAAGAAAAGCAGCAGGUUAAUACCCCGCUGUUCUGACGGUACCCAAAGAAUAAGCACCGGCUAACUUCGUG